Molecule: transfer RNA, 87 nt
Filed under: Alphaproteobacteria bacterium
Lineage: Bacteria; Pseudomonadati; Pseudomonadota; Alphaproteobacteria
Also listed under: 1 other name
Description: tRNA-Leu
Rfam family: tRNA
About the family: Transfer RNA (tRNA) molecules are approximately 80 nucleotides in length.
Source: RNAcentral
GCCUUGGUGGUGGAAUUGGUAGACACGCGGGACUUAAAAUCCCGUGGCCAUUUGGCCUUGCGGGUUCAAGUCCCGCCCGAGGUACCA